UACGUAGGGUGCGAGCGUUGUCCGGAAUUAUUGGGCGUAAAGAGCUCGUAGGCGGUGUGUCACGUCGAUCGUGAAAACUUACAGCUUAACUGUGAGCGUGCGGUCGAUACGGGCAUCACUGGAGUUCGGCAGGGGAGACUGGAAUUCCUGGUGUAGCGGUGAAAUGCGCAGAUAUCAGGAGGAACACCGGUGGCGAAGGCGGGUCUCUGGGCCGAUACUGGCGCUGAGGAGCGAAAGCGUGGGGAGCGAACAGG
RNAcentral lists this ribosomal RNA (254 nucleotides) under uncultured bacterium. RNAcentral's name for it is "partial 16S ribosomal RNA". It matches the Rfam family "Bacterial small subunit ribosomal RNA", at positions 524 to 776 of the family's 1533-position model. The record is from RNAcentral.